CAUGAAUGGUGUAACGACUUCUCUACUGUCUCCAAAACUAUCUCUAUGAAAUUGAAUUUGUCGUGAAGAUGCGGCAACGCACAGUUAGACGGAAAGACCCUAUGCACCUUUACUAUAAACUUUAAUUCAAAUUGUGGAAUUAAAAAACAGCAACGUAGGAGAAAGCACUCAACAAUGUGAAACUACUUUUUAAAACUACUUUUUGUAAUUUAAUAGACUCAAUUAUAUUUUGUAUCUUAAGUAUAAGUUUGGUAGUUUGACUGGGGCGGUCACCUUCUAAAAAGUAACGAAGGUAU
Molecule: ribosomal RNA, 296 nt
Filed under: Aristerostoma sp. ATCC 50986
Lineage: Eukaryota; Ciliophora; Colpodea; Cyrtolophosidida; Cyrtolophosididae
Description: partial Bacterial large subunit ribosomal RNA
Rfam family: Bacterial large subunit ribosomal RNA
Source: RNAcentral